GUCAAUUCUUUUUUCGAUUUGAACCCUAACAUUUUCAUUUUGGGCGGGAUGAAAUCAAAAGAAAAUCCUUUUGGGCGGGAUUAUUCCUACUUGAUGUUUUGGAAUAUAUAAGUUCAACUCUAAAAUUAGUCCAGGGAUGUUAAGAGAUACACCUUUUUUGGGGUAUUAUCAGUUCCGAGAUAAAAAAACAUCCAAGGGACUAAAAUUAAAGAAAGAAAAGUUGAAGAAAUUGUUGAAAACCAAUUAGAUUCAACCAAAAUUUUGGGAAAAAAGGAUAAUCACAUGCUAUUAUUCAUAAGUGGAUUGGACAGCUUUGCACAAGAGCAGUCAAUUGCGCUUAACUGAAAAGAAUAACAAAGGAAAAUGGCAUGCUAUUCAUAAGUGGAUUGAACAGCUUUGCACAAGAGCAAUCAAUUGCGGUUAACCGAAAAGGAAAACAAAGAAUGGAUAAAUCCUAGAUGAGUACUGAUAGAACAAAAAUACACUAUAGAGAAGGAGUCGCGGCGUUUCUGCGGUAUGCUGUCAACCAUGUCAAGGAGGAGGGUGAGACAUUUGAAGAAUUUCUUAUGCUGUGUCCAUGUACGGAUUGUUUAAAUUAUUGUGCAUGCUCAGUUGGCGACGUAGAAGAUCAUUAUUCUUAAAUGGAAUCGAUCAAACGUAUACUACUUGGACUAAGCAUGGGGAAAAGGAGGAGGCAACUAGUAGUAUGCCAGUUAACGUCAACAAUGGUAUGCACGCUGAAUUUGAAGAUUUCGGAAUAAGAACUCCCACUGAUGCUCCAGACGAAGAUUUUGGAAUGGGAACUCCCACUGAUGCUCCAGACACUAUAGAUAUGAUGUAGGCUGCAGAACAGUUCGCAGAUGACCCUAUAAAGUUUAAAAAGUUACUUGAAGAUGCUGAAAAGCCCUUAUACGAAGGAUGUCCCAGCUUCACAAAGUUGUCUGCAAUUGUGCAGCUGUUCAAGUUGAAGAGUAAGCACGGUGCAUCAGGCAUGUUUUUUAAUGAACCAUUACCCUUGUUAAAGGACAUGCUUCCCAAAGAAGGUAAGUUAAUGGCGAGGAGUACAUAUCAUGCCAAGAAAAUAUUGAAAGCAAUGGGUUCAGGGUACACAAAGAUACAUGCAUGUAUCAGCAACUGCAUUCUUUAUAGGAACGAGUACAAGGAUGAAAAAGUGUCCUACUUGUAAAACACCCAGAAGGAAAGUUGACAGGGACGGUAAAGUGUACGAGAAUAUUCCAGCAAAGGUAUUGUGGUACUUCGACAUCAUCCCAAGAUUUAAGCGGUUGUUUCAAUCGCCCACAACAGAAGAUUUGAUAUGGCACCAUACCACUAGAACCAAAGAUGGUGUUUUACGUCAUCCGGCAGACUCACAUGCUUGGAGAGAGAUAGAUGACAAAUUCCCAGAAAUUAAAGGUGAUCCAAGAAAUCUGCGGUUAGCUGCUUCGGCUGAUGGAGUUGAUGUAAACACAGGCACCAAACAUCACAGUGUAUUGCCAGUUUUGGUUGUGAUUUACAACCUUCCACCGUGGUUGUGUAUGAAUAGAAAGUUCAUCAUGUUGUCGUUACUUAUAGACGGUGCGCCUGGAAACAUCAUCGAUGUCCUUUUAGAACCUCUUGUUAAAGAUUCUCAAUUCUUACUCUACGUGCAGUUGUUUUGUGGGCGAUAAACGAUUAUCUUGCUCUUGGUACACUAUGUGGCUGUCGCUACGCUGGAUAUCAUGGUUGUGUAGUGUGUAGGAAAAAAACUCACGGUAUUAGGCUUCAUGACUCGAACAAGAAUGUUUAUGUUGGUUAUAGAAGAUUUUUACCCUAUGAGCAUCCAUUCAGAAGGAAGAAGAAGGCAUUUGGCGGAAAACAAGAGUGGGAGACUGCUCCAGAACCAAUAACCGGGGAAGAGAUAUAUGAGGAAGUAAAAUGUAUAAAGAAUUCAUGGGGAAAGAAGGGGAAGAAUACUUAAGUGGAAGACGUGCAAGCUACACCCAGAGAAGGUGGAAAGAUGAAGCGCAUCAAAAAAACGAAGAUUAAGCGCAUCAGAAAAAUAUCAAAGGAAAUCGAUAGGUCAGGUGAGGAAGAGGAAGGCAGGGAAACCACCUACUGGAGAAAGGACAACAUAUGGCAGCGACUACUUAGAUAUUGACGUUAUAAUGAUGUCCAACAUUUUAUUGAUUUCAUGCACGUCGAAAAGAAUGUGGGACAAAGUCUUGCUGGAACGUGUUGGGGUUUUGUUCCGUGAAGAUUCCGGAACUUAUCGGAACAUAAUGUGGGUGUUUCCCAAGUUAUGGUUUUCUUGUUUAGGAUUUCCUAAUUAAGGUGUGAGUCUAUUUUUAGGAGUUCUAAGACUUGGGGAUCAAAGAUUUUCUACUAUAUAAGAAGGCUUAUGUGGUGAAGGCUUAUGUGGUGAGUAGAAAUUCAUUCUCUUGUAGAAUCCUCUCUCUUUAUAAGAGUGAUUGGGUCACAACUGUUUUGUCCUACAAUGGUUGGUGAUGGAGCAAAAUCUAUGUGAGAAGAGAGACUUGUAGUGAGAACGGGUACGGGAGAAAUCUAGAGUUUCUAGGGUUCGUAUUGGAGAAGCUAGAGUUCGUGAUGUUUUUUCUUCUUGUCCAAAGUCGAAGCGACCAUGGCGGUGAAGGUUUAUGGAAGAAGAAG
Molecule: long non-coding RNA, 2646 nt
Organism: Papaver somniferum (opium poppy)
Lineage: Eukaryota; Viridiplantae; Streptophyta; Magnoliopsida; Ranunculales; Papaveraceae
Exons: 5
Source: RefSeq, a predicted model, not a curated record